RNAcentral lists this ribosomal RNA (303 nucleotides) under uncultured bacterium. Its description in RNAcentral is "partial 16S ribosomal RNA". It matches the Rfam family "Bacterial small subunit ribosomal RNA", at positions 507 to 807 of the family's 1533-position model. The record is from RNAcentral.
AGCAGUAGCCGCGGGAAUACGGAGGGGGCUAGCGUUGUUCGGAAUUACUGGGCGUAAAGCGCACGUAGGCGGCUUGGUAAGUUAGAGGUGAAAGCCUGGAGCUCAACUCCAGAAUUGCCUUUAAGACUGCCGAGCUAGCAGGUGAGAGAGGUAAGUGGAAUUCCGAGUGUAGAGGUGAAAUUCGUAGAUAUUCGGAAGAACACCAGUGGCGAAGGCGGCUCACUGGCUCAUUCUAGACGCUGAGGUGCGAAAGCGUGGGGAGCAAACAGGAUUAGAUACCCCUGUAGUCCCUGUCUCUUAUAC